Molecule: ribosomal RNA, 464 nt
Filed under: Lodderomyces parapsilosis
Lineage: Eukaryota; Fungi; Ascomycota; Pichiomycetes; Serinales; Debaryomycetaceae
Description: eukaryotic LSU rRNA
Rfam family: 5.8S ribosomal RNA (bases 124-277)
Source: RNAcentral
UUUCUUACACAUGUGUUUUUCUUUUUUUGAAAACUUUGCUUUGGUAGGCCUUCUAUAUGGGGCCUGCCAGAGAUUAAACUCAACCAAAUUUUAUUUAAUGUCAACCGAUUAUUUAAUAGUCAAAACUUUCAACAACGGAUCUCUUGGUUCUCGCAUCGAUGAAGAACGCAGCGAAAUGCGAUAAGUAAUAUGAAUUGCAGAUAUUCGUGAAUCAUCGAAUCUUUGAACGCACAUUGCGCCCUUUGGUAUUCCAAAGGGCAUGCCUGUUUGAGCGUCAUUUCUCCCUCAAACCCUCGGGUUUGGUGUUGAGCGAUACGCUGGGUUUGCUUGAAAGAAAGGCGGAGUAUAAACUAAUGGAUAGGUUUUUUCCACUCAUUGGUACAAACUCCAAAACUUCUUCCAAAUUCGACCUCAAAUCAGGUAGGACUACCCGCUGAACUUAAGCAUAUCAAUAAGCGGAGGAA